GGUGGUGGUGCAUGACCGUUCUUAGUUGGUGGAGCGAUUUCUCUAGUUAAUUCCAAUAAUGAAUGAGACUCUGGCAUGCUAACUAGUUAUGCGACCCCUGAGCUUAGACUCUGUGAAAGGAUUUUGUGAAACUGUAACAACCUUUCAUGUGGAUGGUUUGGACUUUAUGAGCAGACAGGUGCAAUGGACACCAU
Molecule: non-coding RNA, 194 nt
Organism: Podarcis lilfordi (Lilford's wall lizard)
Lineage: Eukaryota; Metazoa; Chordata; Lepidosauria; Squamata; Lacertidae
Source: the annotation of a GenBank genome assembly